AGAGUUUGAUCAUGGCUCAGAUUGAACGCUGGCGGCGUGCCUAACACAUGCAAGUCGAGCGGUAACAGGUGUAGCAAUACAUGCUGACGAGCGGCGAACGGGUGAGUAAUGCUUCGGAAUCUACCCAGUAGUGGGGAAUAACCAACCGAAAGGUUGGCUAAUACCGCAUACGUCCUACGGGAGAAAGCGGGGGAUCGUAAGACCUCGCGCUAGCGGAUGAGCCGAAGCCGGAUUAGCUAGUUGGUAGGGUAACGGCCUACCAAGGCGACGAUCCGUAGCUGGUCUGAGAGGACGACCAGCCACACUGGGACUGAGACACGGCCCAGACUCCUACGGGAGGCAGCAGUGGGGAAUAUUGGACAAUGGGGGAAACCCUGAUCCAGCGACACCGCGUGUGUGAAGAAGGCCUGCGGGUUGUAAAGCACUUUUAGUGGGGAUGAAAAGUGCAGAGCUAACACCUCUGCAUCUUGACCUAACCCACAGAAAAAGCACCGGCUAACUCUGUGCCAGCAGCCGCGGUAAUACAGAGGGUGCGAGCGUUAAUCGGAAUUACUGGGCGUAAAGCGUGCGUAGACGGUAAUGUAAGUCGGGUGUGAAAGCCCCGGGCUCAACCUGGGAAUUGCAUUCGAGACUGCAUUGCUUGGGUGCGGAAGAGGGAAGCGGAAUUUCCGGUGUAGCGGUGAAAUGCGUAGAUAUCGGAAGGAACACCAGUGGCGAAAGCGGCUUCCUGGUCCGACACCGACGUUCAGGCACGAAAGCGUGGGGAGCAAACAGGAUUAGAUACCCCAGUAGUCC
Molecule: ribosomal RNA, 795 nt
Filed under: uncultured bacterium
Lineage: Bacteria
Description: bacterial SSU rRNA
Rfam family: Bacterial small subunit ribosomal RNA
Source: RNAcentral